AUGCUCGCUUCGGCAGCACAUAUACUAAGAUUGGAACGAUACAGAGAAGAUUAGCAUGGCCCCUGCGCAAAUACUGUACGUUAUCUGACUCAAGGGCUUCAGAUAAAA
Octodon degus (degu) is the source of this 108-nucleotide small nuclear RNA. The record is from Ensembl. Lineage: Eukaryota; Metazoa; Chordata; Mammalia; Rodentia; Octodontidae.